GCAAAGAGAAAACACAGCACACGGAUCCAUCACGCGGAUCGAUGACGUGGCAGCAAUUCACCACCGCGCGCUGCUCCUGUGCAUGAUCCAACUCCACCUCCACCUCUUAUCCUCUUCUCUCUCUCUCUCUCCAUUAUCCUCUUCUCUCUCUCUCUCUCCAUUAUCCUCUUCUCUCUCUCCCGUCCCCCACGCCUCUCCUUGUUCCCAGCCUCUUCUCUCUCUCUCUCUCCCUUAUCCUCUUCUCUCUCUCCCGUCCCCCACGCCUCUCCUUGUUCCCAGCCAAGAUCCACCUCCACCUACCGCCGUUCCCCAAGCCGCUGACGAGCACCAGGUCAAGCUCCGCCGCCCCUACCUCCUUCUCCUUCCUCCUUCCUGUCUUCCUCGUUCUCUAUCUCUCCCCCAUACCUCACCCCUUGCCCUCUCCCUCUGAGGCAGCCAACGCCAUGGACGGCUGCGGAGCUUCGCGCCACCCGACGUCAACCGCAUCGCCGCCCCAAGGGAUCCGUGCGCGUGGCCGCGUUGAGCCGCACAUGCGCUAGAUCCAUCCGCCGGUGUGUGCCACCGUAGCAACAGGUUCGGCAAUGACUCUCGGCCCUGCCGCUUCAUUGCUCCUUCCCAAGCCGGCCUCCACUUUCUGACCCCGCCACCGGCGAGCUGUCAUGCCCGUCCUCGUCGCACUGGUGCUGUCCUCCAGUAUGCUUGCUGGCUGCGACCAGAGCCCUGUAUAUAUUUGGUUCGGUUGCAGUGCUGCUACUUCCCGGUGGAUCUAGGCUGCCCAGGCUAGCAACGUGUGUGUUGCUUUCUUGAUGGGUUUUAAGUGGAUCUUAAUUUGAUGUAUCCUGGCACUUGUCCGUGUGUAAAUCUGAUGUGUAGAACACUUAGAAGUUGCUACUCGUAGGAUAUUCUUGCUCGUAUGUGUACACAUGAAGAAUGGCUAGCUUGUAGAUCCGUUUUCUUUUUGUUAAAGAAAUAUACAUUCAUUUUUAUUGGAUCUGUAUUGCAAAUCUCUGUAGUGACGCCAUCGUCCUCUUUUGCUCUAACCACGUUGUACACACGACGCCGAUGCGACCACUGAAGCAGCAGUGCCCGCCCUACGAAAGCUUGGAAUGACGUUAUUUUCAAAAAAAAAACUUUAAAAUAAUCUUUGCCGUCUUUAGUUUAGUCUGGAUGACGGCAAAGAAAAUGUUUUGACUAACGGCAAAGACCGCAUUCUUUGCCGUCUGUUAUUUAUAAGGCUGACGGCGAAGUAGAUUUGGCUGAUGGCAAAGUCUUUGCCGUCUUCCCGAUAAAAAGCUGACAGCAAAGUAUUCUUUGCCGACUUAUCUUUGCCGUCUGAGUUUGCCGUCUGCUUCCUGACGGCAAAAUCUUUGCCGUCUGGAUUUCGGUCUUUGUCGUCUGUAAUCCACAGACGGCAAAUUACCUGUUUCCUGUAGUGUGUCCCCAUUUGGGCCCGUUUUUGUUUUGCCAUGACGGUGGUCGUUGGAUGUCCGGAGUGGCAUCAGGGCCACCAAUGACUUAUCCCAAAGGGGAGUUUGUCGGAAUGGCCGGGAGGAUGUCAUGGCCGUAGUUCGGUUUUGUCAGAAUGCCGUUGGUCCACCCGAAUGGGAGCACGAGGCCUUGGGUUCCGUGGUGUCGGUAUAGUGUGCUAACCUCUGCAGAGUGUGUAUAAUCUAUCGAUAGCCGCGCCCGCGGAUAUGGGCCCAGUUCAUAGUAGGUCACACUAUGGGUCAACAGUAAUAAUAACCUGUUUAAUAACAACCCAAUUCGAUGAUAAAAGAAGUGGUUGAUUCUUAUGUGAUCGCGAGAGGAUCACGGUGGUAUCGAGGAUACCGAAGAUGGUUGAGGUUUAUGGUAUUAUGCGAUAAUCAAGGGUAAAGAUCAAGCUCCUUGUCGUCAUGUAAUGAUUACUACGGUAUUUUUAAUACCAAGCUUCAUUUGAUCUUGAGGUGAUCGUGAGAUGACCAUGAUGGUAAGUGAUUCAUGUGGUGGUUACAAGGUAACCCCGAACAGAGUAAGUUGGUGCAUGAUAUUGUUAACAUGUUGCAUGCUAGUAUCAUCAUAUGUUCAUGCCAUGCUCAUCUGAUAUUGUUCUAGUGCUAUUUUGUUCAUGCCAUGUGUUUUGAUAGUACCAUGUUCAACAUUCCUAAGUAACCUGUAAAUGCCACACUGUUGUUUGCCCUGAUUGCUUUGGUUGCUGUGAGCUCGCAAGUACAUUCGAUGUACUGACCUGGCGUGUCAUGCCAAUUUGUAGGUUAUGCCUUGUCUGCUUGCUUGUUUGCCGAGGAUCUUGAGUUUGCGAGCUAGGAUAAGCGUUCCAGCCAGAGUCCCUGCGGAGUGGAGUCCAUCGUCGUCGAUCGCUGUUCCGCUGCUAGAUG
RNAcentral lists this long non-coding RNA (2375 nucleotides) under Triticum aestivum (bread wheat). RNAcentral describes it as "long non-coding RNA (TAES_LNC017465)". The record is from RNAcentral. Lineage: Eukaryota; Viridiplantae; Streptophyta; Magnoliopsida; Poales; Poaceae.